Molecule: non-coding RNA, 89 nt
Organism: Nemania abortiva
Lineage: Eukaryota; Fungi; Ascomycota; Sordariomycetes; Xylariales; Xylariaceae
Source: the annotation of a GenBank genome assembly
GUCGACAUGGUGUAGUGGUGCACACUUUGGUGGGGUUGGCCGCCAUCCGACAAGCCAAAGAGGUGUCGGUUCGACUCCGACUGUCGCCG